Molecule: ribosomal RNA, 460 nt
Filed under: uncultured archaeon
Lineage: Archaea
Description: bacterial SSU rRNA
Rfam family: Archaeal small subunit ribosomal RNA
Source: RNAcentral
CCACAACGGGUGGAGCCUGCGGUUUAAUCGGACUCAACGCCGGGAAUCUCACCGGAUAAGACAGCUGAAUGAUAGUCGGGAUGAAGACUCUACUUGACUAGCUGAGAGGAGGUGCAUGGCCGUCGUCAGUUCGUACUGUGAAGCAUCCUGUUUAGUCAGGCAACGAGCGAGACCCACGCGAGCAGUUGCCAGCUUGACCUUUGGGUUGAUGGGGACACUGCUCGGACCGCCUCUGCUAAAGGGGAGGAAGGACUGGGCAACGGUAGGUCAGCAUGCCCCGAAUUAUCCGGGCUACACGCGGGCUACAAUGGACAGGACAAUGGGUUUCGACACCGAGAGGUGAGGAUAAUCUCCUAAACCUGUCCCAAGUUCGGAUUGCGGGUUGUAACUCACCCGCAUGAAGCUGGAAUCCGUAGUAAUCGCGUUUCAACAUACCGCGGUGAAUAUGUCCCUGCUCCUU